CCUACGGGGGGCAGCAGUGGGGAAUAUUGGACAAUGGGGGGAACCCUGAUCCAGCCAUGCCGCGUGUGUGAAGAAGGCCCUCGGGUUGUAAAGCACUUUCAGUGAGGAAGAACGCCUGGUGGUUAAUACCCAUCAGGAAAGACAUCACUCACAGAAGAAGCACCGGCUAACUCCGUGCCAGCAGCCGCGGUAAUACGGAGGGUGCGAGCGUUAAUCGGAAUUACUGGGCGUAAAGCGCGCGUAGGUGGCUUGAUAAGCCGGUUGUGAAAGCCCCGGGCUCAACCUGGGAACGGCAUCCGGAACUGUCAAGCUAGAGUGCAGGAGAGGAAGGUAGAAUUCCCGGAGUAGCGGUGAAAUGCGUAGAGAUCGGGAGGAAUACCAGUGGCGAAGGCGGCCUUCUGGACUGACACUGACACUGAGGUGCGAAAGCGUGGGUAGCAAACAGGAUUAGAUACCCUUGUAGUC
This 465-nucleotide ribosomal RNA is filed under the name Vreelandella stevensii. RNAcentral's name for it is "partial 16S ribosomal RNA". It matches the Rfam family "Bacterial small subunit ribosomal RNA", at positions 338 to 795 of the family's 1533-position model. Lineage: Bacteria; Pseudomonadati; Pseudomonadota; Gammaproteobacteria; Oceanospirillales; Halomonadaceae. The record is from RNAcentral.